This 72-nucleotide transfer RNA is filed under the name Camelus bactrianus (Bactrian camel). It matches the Rfam family "tRNA". From Rfam's summary of the family: Transfer RNA (tRNA) molecules are approximately 80 nucleotides in length. Their secondary structure includes four short double-helical elements and three loops (D, anti-codon, and T loops). The record is from Rfam by way of RNAcentral. Lineage: Eukaryota; Metazoa; Chordata; Mammalia; Artiodactyla; Camelidae. RNAcentral also lists the same sequence under 2 other names.
GCAGGUGUAGCUCAGUGGUAGAGCGCGUGCUUAGCAUGCACGAGGUCCUGGGUUCAACCCCCAGUCCCUCCA